Folsomia candida is the source of this 47-nucleotide regulatory RNA element. It matches the Rfam family "Histone 3' UTR stem-loop". From Rfam's summary of the family: The mRNAs of metazoan histone genes lack a poly-A tail. 3' end processing occurs at a site between a highly conserved stem-loop (modelled by this family) and a purine rich region around 20 nts downstream (the histone downstream element, or HDE). The record is from Rfam. Lineage: Eukaryota; Metazoa; Arthropoda; Collembola; Entomobryomorpha; Isotomidae.
CCAACGGCCCUUUUAAGGGCCACCACUUUCUCCAAAGAGCAGUCAAU